This 344-nucleotide RNase P RNA is filed under the name Hydrotalea flava. RNAcentral describes it as "RNase P RNA component class A". It matches the Rfam family "Bacterial RNase P class A". From Rfam's summary of the family: Ribonuclease P (RNase P) is a ubiquitous endoribonuclease, found in archaea, bacteria and eukarya as well as chloroplasts and mitochondria. Its best characterised activity is the generation of mature 5'-ends of tRNAs by cleaving the 5'-leader elements of precursor-tRNAs. RNAcentral also lists the same sequence under 3 other names. Lineage: Bacteria; Pseudomonadati; Bacteroidota; Chitinophagia; Chitinophagales; Chitinophagaceae. The record is from RNAcentral.
CUACAAACCCGCGCUAUCGCCUUGUUUUAACAGGGAGGAAAGUCCGGACAGCACAGAGCAACCCACCGGUGAACAGCCGGCCACCAAUUGGUGAGAGAAAGUGCCACAGAAAAUAACUGCCCUGCAUUGACGGGGUAAAGGUGAAAAUGUGAGGUAAGAGCUCACGGUUGUUAUCGGUAACGGUAGCAACGGGUAAACCUUGGGUGCUGCAAUGCCACAUAUAGAGCCGUUUUGAGAGCUGCUCGUUCAAGGCUCAGGGUAGGCAGCAACAGGUAAACAGUAAUGUUUAUCGCAGAUAAAUGAUAGUGUAGAAACAGAAUCCGGCUUAUGAGGUUUGUAGCUUU